Long non-coding RNA from Chenopodium quinoa (quinoa), 1136 nucleotides. RefSeq lists it as uncharacterized. Lineage: Eukaryota; Viridiplantae; Streptophyta; Magnoliopsida; Caryophyllales; Amaranthaceae. The transcript has 3 exons. The record is from RefSeq and is a predicted model, not a curated record.
UGGCUAGGUGGGUUGACUAUGUUCAACAAUUUUGAAUAAUUUGGAAGUUUCACUACUACAAAAACACCCUAAGGAGUCGCCCUUUUAGAGUCGCCUCAAAUUACUAAGUGAUGCCUAAAGUUUUAGAGUCGUCUCUUACAAAGCAUGUGACACAUAAAGCUUGAUUAAAAGAAACCUAAAAAUAAAUUGAAAAGCAUAGGCAUCACGUACACUAUAAUAGGCAAUACGUAAACUAUACACGUCCCAUCUUUCAUUAUAUGUGACUUAUAUAGUAUUACUUUACGAGUCGCCUCUAGUCCUGAACUAUUACACGCGACACCUUUGCAAGUUAAGAAACAAAGCUGAAGCUUAAAACAAAAACCCUAGAAUCCUCAUUUGUUCAUUCCCUUGGUUUUUUUUUUCCUCCUCUCCUCACCUCCCUCAUUCAUUCCGUUAGGCUUUUUUUCCUUCCUCACAUCGCCUCCCACCGGCAACGACUACCACCAUACCACUACUUGUCUCCAUUAUCAGAUAUUCGCCGAUCAAUUUCUCAUCUUCGAUUUCUCAUUCCUCUUUCAAUCAGUUACAUUAAAAUUUCCCUAUUACUUUAUCCAUUAUACGUACAAUACGUACUACUAUUCUUCUUCCUCCAAAAAAAAGCCAACUUCAGAUCGAACCCGUCGCCGUCGUCUUCAUCUACCGCCGCUGCGCCCCCACAUCUCCUUUCCGGUGAAAAGUUAGGUUACUUGUGUAUGAGCUGCAAUCGUUACUCGUUAGUGUGGUUAUUGGCUUUAUGUGUAGCAGCUGAGGUAUAUGUAUCGUGGUGGAUCUUGCAGCCGAGUAAUGGAUUUGGUGGCUAGCUGUAAGAUUUUUUAACGGAGUUGGCUUGUUCUUUGGUCAUGGCACAAGGAGAGCAUGUUACUACUCACAUAGAACUUGUAUGACACACCUAGGAGACCCAGGAUCCUUUCUAGCUGCUAGUGGAAGUGUUGUUGCGAUCAAGUUUGGAAACCUCUGUCAUUGCUUUUCGAAAUGGGCCGAUGUGAAAGCAUUUGGCGACUAAAUCUGCAUUGCAUUUAGCAAGGUAUGGUGAUUCAACUCUGUCCAUUAUGUAUCUAACUUUUCUCAUUCAAGAUUUAAAUAUAAUAUUCGUGGAA